CGUGGGUAAUCUACCUAUUGGCUUGGGAUAACAGUCCGAAAGGAUUGCUAAUACCGGAUAAGACCACAGCUCUGCGGAGUGGUGGUAAAAGGCGCUCGCAAGGGUGCCACCGAUUGAUGAGCCCGCGGCCUAUCAGCUAGUUGGCGGGGUAAUGGCCCACCAAGGCUACGACGGGUAACUGGUCUGAGAGGACGACCAGUCACACUGGAACUGAGACACGGUCCAG
RNAcentral lists this ribosomal RNA (226 nucleotides) under uncultured bacterium. Its description in RNAcentral is "partial 16S ribosomal RNA". It matches the Rfam family "Bacterial small subunit ribosomal RNA", at positions 116 to 334 of the family's 1533-position model. The record is from RNAcentral.